Phoenix dactylifera (date palm) is the source of this 1157-nucleotide long non-coding RNA. RefSeq lists it as uncharacterized. Lineage: Eukaryota; Viridiplantae; Streptophyta; Magnoliopsida; Arecales; Arecaceae. The record is from RefSeq and is a predicted model, not a curated record.
CUAUUCAAAAUUCUCUCUUCAUGUGAUAAAGAGCAGAACGUGCUGAGUUCUGGGUCUUAGCAUUGGAAUACAUUUCUAGUCACUAUUCUCUUCUACUGCUGCACCAAUUAUUCACUUUAUUCACCCAGAUCUUUAAAACGAUGUAAGUGACAAAUGACUUGAUCCACAAACUUGCAGUAGUUGCCAGGAGAUUAGGCACACAAUACCAACACAAUUUAGUAAUAUAAUACAUUGAUGAGAAAUAUGAACAAGCACAAUAAAAGUAAAUGUUAGAAGCAUCCUUUUUUUAGGUAAAUUAGAUGUGUACUCUAGUAUCGAACUGCAAUAGGUAUUUACUGACUCAUGAUAUGUUUCAAAGAUAAUAGUAUCAGAACAUGUAUAUAUUCAGGUGUGAGAGCAGAGGCCACAGAUUUCUCCACUACCCUCUCCCUUUUCACUACCUAGCAACACUGAGCUGCAUGGAGUAUAUGUAAUGGAUAAGGUGAUUGGAAAUUGAAAAACAUGGCCUAAGGCAAUGUUUGUUCAAUUAUCCUAUCCUUUGUGAUCUACCAAAUAGCUGGGAAUUAGUAAAGAAGGUGAAGAGAGGAGCUCGAGGAAUUGGGGAAGAAGCCUUAUUUCCCUCUCCCUAUUUUUUGAGUUAUCCAACUAAAUGUGGUUCAGAAAAUGAGCCACUACAUCUGCAUGUACCAUCACACAAUGCUUCUACAAUGCCCCGGUUGUUAGAUAUGAAAACCAAGGGCUAUUAUUUAUUAUUUUCACCGUAUGUUAUAUUGACAUUUUUACUGUUCAUUAAACUUAAAUAAUUUCCAUUGAAUUUUACAGGAACAAAGUCCAGCUAUUGGGCUUGUGUGGGCAAAUUUAUAGCUGUUGAAACAACAAAUUAUAGUUUCAAAGUGAGACAUCUAUUUAUUUGGAUCUCCGUGUCUUGAUCUAAACAGGUAUAGGGCCCCUACAUGCAUCAAAUCAAAGUCGUCACAUGAAAACAAACAUGUAUUUACGCUAUAGACUGGGGAUCUCCAUCUACUUUUGCAUGGUCUAUUGGUCUUUGCUUAUGAUGAGCAUGACAUGGUUUAAUGUUGCUUUCAAUUUUUAUUCCAUUUUGACAAUGGUGGCAUUGUGUUAGUUUUGAAUUAUUUUAGUAAGAAACAGAUUACAAA